This 253-nucleotide ribosomal RNA is filed under the name uncultured bacterium. Its description in RNAcentral is "partial 16S ribosomal RNA". It matches the Rfam family "Bacterial small subunit ribosomal RNA", at positions 524 to 776 of the family's 1533-position model. The record is from RNAcentral.
UACGUAGGUGGCAAGCGUUGUUCGGAAUAACUGGGCGUAAAGGAUGCGUAGGCGGUUAAACAAGUUAUAUGUUAAAUAUAUAGGCUUAACCUGUAGAAAGCAUAUAAAACUGUUUAACUAGAGUGCAGGAGAGGUAAGUGGAAUUCCUAGUGUGGCGGUGAAAUGCGUAGAGAUUAGGAAGAACACCAGUGGCGAAGGCGACUUACUGGACUGUAACUGACGCUGAGGCAUGAGAGCAUGGGGAGCAAACAGG